GAACUGAAGAGUUUGAUCAUGGCUCAGAUUGAACGCUGGCGGCAGGCCUAACACAUGCAAGUCGAGCGGUAGAGAGAAGCUUGCUUCUCUUGAGAGCGGCGGACGGGUGAGUAAUGCCUAGGAAUCUGCCUGGUAGUGGGGGAUAACGUUCGGAAACGGACGCUAAUACCGCAUACGUCCUACGGGAGAAAGCAGGGGACCUUCGGGCCUUGCGCUAUCAGAUGAGCCUAGGUCGGAUUAGCUAGUUGGUGAGGUAAUGGCUCACCAA
This 268-nucleotide ribosomal RNA is filed under the name Pseudomonas sp. RNAcentral describes it as "partial 16S ribosomal RNA". It matches the Rfam family "Bacterial small subunit ribosomal RNA", at positions 1 to 271 of the family's 1533-position model. The record is from RNAcentral. Lineage: Bacteria; Pseudomonadati; Pseudomonadota; Gammaproteobacteria; Pseudomonadales; Pseudomonadaceae.